Molecule: ribosomal RNA, 790 nt
Filed under: uncultured bacterium
Lineage: Bacteria
Description: bacterial SSU rRNA
Rfam family: Bacterial small subunit ribosomal RNA
Source: RNAcentral
AGAGUUUGAUCCUGGCUCAGAUUGAACGCUGGCGGCAGGCCUAACACAUGCAAGUCGAGCGCGAAAGGCUUUCGGGCUGAGUAGAGCGGCGGACGGGUGAGUAACGCGUAGGAAUCUACCUGGUAGUGGGGGACAACUUGGGGAAACUCAAGCUAAUACCGCAUACGCCCCAAGGGGGAAAGCGGGGGACCUUCGGGCCUCGUGCUAUCGGAUGAGCCUGCGUAGGAUUAGCUUGUUGGUGAGGUAAAGGCUCACCAAGGCGACGAUCCUUAGCUGGUCUGAGAGGAUGAUCAGCCACACUGGAACUGAGACACGGUCCAGACUCCUACGGGAGGCAGCAGUGGGGAAUAUUGCGCAAUGGGGGCAACCCUGACGCAGCCAUGCCGCGUGUGUGAAGAAGGCCUUAGGGUUGUAAAGCACUUUCAAAGGGGAAGAAAAGUUUAACGUUAAUAGCGUUGAGCCGUGACAUUACCCUUAGAAGAAGCACCGGCUAACUCCGUGCCAGCAGCCGCGGUAAUACGGAGGGUGCGAGCGUUAAUCGGAAUUACUGGGCGUAAAGCGCGCGUAGGCGGUUUGUUAAGUCAGCUGUGAAAGCCCCGGGCUCAACCUGGGAACUGCAGUUGAUACUGGCCGACUGGAGUACGAGAGAGGGAGGUAGAAUUCCAUGUGUAGCGGUGAAAUGCGUAGAUAUAUGGAGGAAUACCAGUGGCGAAGGCGGCCUCCUGGCUCGAUACUGACGCUGAGGUGCGAAAGCGUGGGGAUCAAACAGGAUUAGAUACCCUAGUAGUCC